GGGCUGGAAGGGGGUGAGCCUCUCUGAGGGCUGAGGGCCACCAAGGAGGCACCCGCUCCUGCUCAGGGCUCAUCACGCAGCUUCCUGAGACCUGUGGCAAAAUAAUUCUCUCGUGUUCUUCACUGUGGAUUCCGUGGGUGAAGGAUGGGGACGGGGAGGAAGGAAGGAGCAGAAAGCGGCCUGAGGAGUGGUGGCGAUGAGAAUUCCUAGAUCAAGCACAAGAACUGUGGAGCAAAGGCAUCUACUGCACUUUCAGUUUCUCCUGAACUCAGCUGAGCAAGUUUCUGUGGCGCCAGAGAAAGCCUGGAGGCGGAGGGGUGAGGGGGAGGCCCCUGCAGUGCUUGGGUGAGAAGCCCACGGUGCUCCACACCUGAGGCCCACCUGGAGGCACCGUCAGGAGGACAUGGCGGGGCAUCAGUGUGGUCGGCUCGAGUUGCCUGUCUGCAGAUGGGGAGAGUGAUUGUUCUUCUGGUUUGUAGUGAGGAUUCCCUGAGGCUGGGCCAGGCAUACAAGGAGGACAGCGAGGCUCAGAAAGAUCCAGAGACUUGCUCAAGAUGACUCAGAUGCAGAACCCUGCUUCCGUUUGAGGUGCCGAACGUUGUGGCUGGGAACUCGGCCUGAGGAAGCUCGGAGCCUCACUCUGCUGUGGCCAAGCUGCUCAACGUGCAGUGUCAGCUUACCGCGUGACAGAAACCCUGCUGUCACCGCAUUUCCAUGAGGGCUCAGUGAGGGGGUGAACACGGGGCUCCGUGCGCAGUGACCGCUCACGGUGUUGUCGUUGUUACUGUGAACUUCUGCCUUUCCACUCCUCAGAUGACAGCAUGCGAGAAUGGAGCCUGGAGACCUGGUGACUUGCCCUAUGACCUAGUGAGGUGGCGCUGGGGCUGGGAUCCGUCCCUUGGACUCACUCGGGAGUCCCUGUUCUUUCUGCUCCACCGGGCAGUAGAAAGUCUGGGCUAGGGACAGGGUUUUGAUGUUUACCGUGGAAUUACCCCCUCCUCUGCGAACCCCUCCCCUCCAUAACGCCCUUCACCAGCCCUAAAGAUUUUCUUUGGUUACCUGGUUCAAUGUUUGUCGCCCACAUGCCCGAGCAUUCCCGUGAGAGAGGGCUUGGGUCGGGUAACUGCUGCAUCCCCAGUACCCUGAAUCAGGCUGGGACUGCAGGAGGCGGACGAGGCAGGGCCCUCAAGUGCAGGCUUAGAUCCUGUCUAUCGUUAAAAUUUUGAUAUUUUGUCCAUCAUGGAUAUUUUUACAUUGAUUUUUGUUUUGAAUAGUACUGUAUUAAAAUAUCGAUGAUGGUGAUUCCCGAGUUUUGGGCACUCUCUUAAAUUUUGCCCUGAGACGAGUGCCACCCUCGCCUCACCCUUGUCCCAGCUCUGUCGGGAACGGUGCCUGCCACGUAGUUACAGUCGGUGAAGAUCUGUGGAAUGAACGAUGCCCUCCUCUGUAUCAAGACUCAUUUCCUAAGUGCCCAGAGAAGAGACAGUCUUCCCGUGGGUAUUCAGGGCUCUGUGUGUGAAGGACGUGGAACCCCAGACUGAAUCUCUUGUGCUUGGCUCCAUGAUUAGGGGACAGCUGUGAGCUAAAGAAGAAGGGUGCAUCCCUUCUGGGAUCUGAUCAUGGAGCCACUCAGAACUCAGGUCUCUGAGCCUAAUGGGAGAAGUGAAGGCGAGAAGUCUGCCAGUCUCUGAAAACCUAUGUGGAGUUUCAUGGCAAUUAAACGCCACACCGAGUUGGACUGACAAUCGUUAGCGUAAUGAGGUCUGGCUGGGCGCCGCUCCCCCUGCUCCCACAUGGCGCUCAACAGGGCUGAGCUGGUUAGCGUUCUGCCGGGAUGCUUCUGAUGCUCCAUUGCAGUGAAAUAUCAGAUCUUGCCUCUACCUGUGGCUUUAUUUCCCUCCAAAGCUGAGAUUUCAUGGAGAUGCACUCUUAUAAUUAAGGUGGGGCUGAGAAAUAAUGUCCUAUAUAAUUUAAAAUGGUAAAAUUACCCAUACCUCUUCCAGCCUCAGCUUUAAAUCUUAGCCACCAAUGACUCCCCUAUUAAUGGGCCUAAUUAAAUCCAUUUUUCAGGACGUCUUUGGCAAAUUCCAUUUUAGCAAAACUGUAGGAAGUUCAAUUUAAUUUGUCUCUGCUCCCCAGGGCUGUCCUGUAAAAAUGAGGACAGGGUGGAUGCUCGUCUCUAGUGUCUUAUGUUUAUUAAUUCCCUCAACAAAUAUUUAUUGAGCACCUACUAUGUGCAUUGGCAUUGAACUAGGGGAAGAAGAGGGAGCAGUGAAAAAAUAAUAAGGUCAUUCAUUCAUUCAACAAACAUGUACUGAGUCAUCUAAUGAGGGAGCCACUGUGGAAGGCUCUGGUGUUGUAGUGAUGAAAGAUGUCCUAGGAAGGUCACUACCUGUUAAGAGAUGGCGGUACAGAUAGUUAAUAUUCAGUGUGAUAAAUGCUCUGAUGGGGUGAAGCAGAGGAAACUCAGAGGAAAACUCCGGACUCAGACUGGGAAGUUUUAAGUGAUAAGUAGAUGUCAUGCACGUGAAGCAAGGAGAGAGGAAGGUGUUGCAAGAGUGGGAUGACCGGCACAGGGGCCACGGGGGAACACGGGAGCUGUGCAGAACUCUAAGCCAUUGCUUCUUAGCUCUGGCUGCAUGUUAGAAUCGCUUGGGGGCUUUGAAAAAAUACCAGUGGCUGUGCCUCACCCCGACCAUGUAAAUCAUAAUUUCUGGGGAUGGGAUCAAGGCACUGAUAUUUUCUUAAAGCUUUCCAGGUGAUGCUAAUAAUUCAGCCAGGGUGGAGAGCUGCUCGGCUAAAGCAUGCGAAGUGGCGGGAGGUGAGGCUCGACAGGUGGACAGGGACUGGAUCGCGAAGGAUCCUGGAGGCCUGUUAAGGGAUCUGAACCUUACCUGAGGUCGUGAGAUCGUGGAAGGGUUGCCAGCAGAGUGAGGAAGGACUCAUAUUUGCACUUUGGAAGGAACUGCUCUGCCAACAGUGCAGAGGAGGGGCUGGACUGGGGCCUCUGGAGCCAGAGGAACAGGUGAAGAGACUGAUGCAGCCAUCUGAGUACAAGAGGAUGGUGGCCCGAGCCCAGGGUCAUGACCUGGGGAAGGAGAGGAGAGAUCUGUAGGAGGCUGGGGGGACAAGAUUGAGUGGUGAGCUGUGCAUCCUGCACGAAGAAGGGAAGCAGUUUGAGAUGACUCCAAGUGGCCCCGGUGACUGGAGGAUGGUCGUGACAUUAAUCAGAGAGGGGCAAGAAAAGAAUGGUUUGGGUUUAGGACAUGUUGGAGAGAUUUGAUGGGCAGCUGGAGUGGAGAUCUGCCACUUGGGACUGUGCUCUGUGGGCACAGAGCAACUGGGAAGUCAACUGUGACUCCUACUUGGAAGGAACCAUCCAAGGAGAGUGUGCAACCUCAGAGUAAGAGGAGAAGAAGGCCAGGGGUGGUGGAGCCUUAGGAAUCUCAACAUUUAAAGGGCACUUGGAGUUUUGAGGAGCUGAGAAAGAACUUGAGGAGGAAUGGCAGAGAGGUAGGAGGGAAAGCAGAGAGAGAGUGACGUCAUGAAGCCAAGGAAGGAGAGAGUUCUGAGAAAAGAGUGGCAACGUGUUGAAAGCUGUGCAGAAGCCAACUAAAAUGGAAGACCAUCCUAUAUGUUUAGGAAAAAACAACUUUGCUGAGACAUUGGGGGUAGAAAGCAGACUGCAGUGGGUUGCAGAGCAAAUGGAACAGAGAUGGGUAUAGGUAAACUCCUGGUCCAAGAAAGGGAAGCAAGAGGUUGCACAGUACCCAGAGGAGAUGUUGGAUUGAGAAGACAUGAGCCAGGACUGAGUGCAAGUAGUUUAUUUUGGAGGUGAUGCCAGGAAAUACCAGUAGGGGAGUGAAGAAGUGAGACACAAAAGGAAACCCACAAAACCCUCUUGCAAAGAGAGCGGGUGGAAUCAGCAAGUCCAUAUCCAGAUCCCCCAUCUCAAUAAUUUCUGCACUCUGGGCAGGUUACUUGAUUUCAGAAAAGCAAAAAAAAGAAUAAAACAAAGAAAGAAAAAAGAAAAAUCAGUACCUCCAAGCUUGCAGCCAAUAAAAUGUCAAUUUCAUCGUAACCGUGUCCACAGCAUCACUAACAGUGUACUCGGCACGAGGCUGGGGAGGAGUUGGGGUAAGGGAGGCUCGUAAAAAUGGCCGAUGCAGAUAUUAAUGAUUUAAUCUGCUAACGCGGCGUGGAGGCCUCUGAGAAUCCUAUUCGUCAGCGUCCAGGAGCCCAUGAGGAGGAGGCGUGGGGAGAAGGAUCGCAGAUAGCGCCGGGAUGUGGUGCGAAUGAAGAUGAAUCGUGGAGCACAGUAUUGAUCUGCCUUGCCUGGAACGGCCACUUUCUGUUUGGAAAUAUGGAAAGCAAAUUAAUGAAUAAAUGAGCUGGCUCAGUGAGCUGUGCCCCGCUGGGAGGCCUGGUGUUUAAGCCACAUAUGCCAACAGGCUCUGAGCAAAUACAGGGAGGGAGGGGGGCUUUGCUGAGAGGGAAGAUGUGGCUCUGCGUGGUGGUCUAGAACCCGCGCCCAGAGCGGCUCUGGAGAGCAGAGGCAGGUGUCCUGGGGUCAGAUUGCUGAUGGCAUUUGGCUCUGCCUCCUGCUGGCUGUGGGGCCUUGAAAACUCGUGCAAUCUCUCUGAACCUGAGUUUCUUCAUGACAGAAAGAGGGUGGGAAAGGAUCAAUGGGAGGAUUCAACUAGGUCACCUGUGUCCUGUACUGGCUCCACCUCUUACAGGCUGUGAGAUACUGGAGAAAUCUUCUGACUUCUCUGUGCUUCGAAUUUCCCUUCUGUCGUACAAUAACACCUAUCCGUGGGACACCGUGGUGAAAAGUGGUAACUUUCAUAACUACUCAACAUUCAACAAAUAUUAAUCACUUAUUAUGUGCCAAUGACAGUUCUAGAUGCCUGGGGUAGGGCUGUGAACAAAAGGGUAACAUUCUUUCUCUCAUAGAAUUUCUUAUUUUUUUCCUGUGACUGUGCAAAUGUCCCAGCACCUCUGUUGGAAGGACUCGCCCUCUUCCACUGAGUUGUCUCUGCCCCCUGUCAACAAUCAGACGGCCGCACUUGUGUGUGGCUAACCUGGGUUUUCUAUUCUGCCCCAUCCGUCCAUGUGUCUGUCCCUCUGCCGACAGCACACUGUCUCGAUGACCGCAGCUCUAGAGGAAGUCUCCAAAGUGGGUGGAAUGAGUCCUCCCACUUUACUCUUCUUUUCCAAAUUCUACUUUCUUUGCCUUUCCAUAUAAAUCUUAGAACAAGCUUGCUUAUAUCUACGAAAAAAAUCUUGCUGGGAUUUUUGAUAGGAAUUGUGUUAACCCUGUAUUUCAACUUGGGGGGAACUGACAUCUUUACUACGCUGAGUCUUCCAAUCCAUGAACAUGGUACAUUUCUCCAUUCAGUUAGAUCUUUGAUUUCUAUCAGCAGCAUUUGUAGUCUUCAGCAUACAAUCCCUGUCAUAUUUUGCUGGAUUUAUUCCUAAAUAUUUCAUUUUUCU
This 5496-nucleotide long non-coding RNA is filed under the name Equus caballus (horse). RNAcentral describes it as "lncRNA (ENSECAG00000045972.1)". The record is from RNAcentral. Lineage: Eukaryota; Metazoa; Chordata; Mammalia; Perissodactyla; Equidae.